RNAcentral lists this ribosomal RNA (475 nucleotides) under Blastocystis sp. RNAcentral describes it as "SSU rRNA". It matches the Rfam family "Eukaryotic small subunit ribosomal RNA", at positions 469 to 944 of the family's 1831-position model. Lineage: Eukaryota; Bigyra; Opalinata; Blastocystidae. The record is from RNAcentral.
GACAAUAAAUCUCAAUACGAAGCCUUUGGUUUUGUAAUUGAAUUGAGAACAAUGUACAAUCGUUAUCGAUAAACAAUUGGAGGGCAAGUCUGGUGCCAGCAGCCGCGGUAAUUCCAGCUCCAAUAGCGUAUAUUAACGUUGUUGCAGUUAAAAAGCUCGUAGUUGAAGUUUAGAUGGUUUGAAGGGGGUGUUAGUAUCAAUGGUACUAUCUGCUCUCUUUGGAUUAUCGACUUCCAGGUAAGUAUAAUGAACCUUUCGGGGUUCGUUAUACCAGACUGGUCUUUUACUGUGAGAAAAUUAGAGUGUUUAAAGCAGACUUUAUUUAGUUUGAAUAGAUUAGCAUGGAAUAAUAAGAUUGGCUUUCAUAGUCGAUUUUUUGGUUUGUUUAUGAAAGCAAGAUUAAUAGGGACAGUUGGGGGUAUUCAUAUUCAAUAGCUAGAGGUGAAAUUCUAUGAUUUAUGGAAAAUGAACAAGG